RNAcentral lists this long non-coding RNA (224 nucleotides) under Phoenix dactylifera (date palm). Its description in RNAcentral is "long non-coding RNA (PDAC_LNC001256)". The record is from RNAcentral. Lineage: Eukaryota; Viridiplantae; Streptophyta; Magnoliopsida; Arecales; Arecaceae.
UUUGAAUUAAUGGUUCCAUAUCAUCAUUAUAAAAAAAAAUAACAAUAUCUGAAGAAGGCAUUGCUUUAAAAAAAAAUUGAAGAAGGCAAAGAACAUUGUGGAGACCUUUCAAUUUUAGUAUAGGCGGAGCAUGAAGUAGUGUUAGGCCGCCCUGCACAAAGAGCUAGUCUUUAACUAUAGACUGCACACAACUUCCACUCAAGACAUCCACACACACACACAAA